RNAcentral lists this ribosomal RNA (584 nucleotides) under uncultured bacterium. RNAcentral's name for it is "partial 16S ribosomal RNA". It matches the Rfam family "Bacterial small subunit ribosomal RNA", at positions 355 to 932 of the family's 1533-position model. The record is from RNAcentral.
UGGAGAAUAUUGCACAAUGGGCGCAAGCCUGAUGCAGCCAUGCCGCGUGUGUGAAGAAGGCCUUCGGGUUGUAAAGCACUUUCAGCGAGGAGGAAGGUGGUGAGCUUAAUACGCUCAUCAAUUGACGUUACUCGCAGAAGAAGCACCGGCUAACUCCGUGCCAGCAGCCGCGGUAAUACGGAGGGUGCAAGCGUUAAUCGGAAUUACUGGGCGUAAAGCGCACGCAGGCGGUUUGUUAAGUCAGAUGUGAAAUCCCCCGGGCUCAACCUGGGAACUGCAUUUGAAACUGGCAAGCUAGAGUCUCGUAGAGGGGGGUAGAAUUCCAGGUGUAGCGGUGAAAUGCGUAGAGAUCUGGAGGAAUACCGGUGGCGAAGGCGGCCCCCUGGACGAAGACUGACGCUCAGGUGCGAAAGCGUGGGGCAGCAAACAGGAUUAGAUACCCUGGUAGUCCACGCUGUAAAACGAUGUCGAUUUUGGAGGUUGUGCCCUUGAGGCGUGGCUUCCGGAGCUAACGCGUUAAAUCGACCGCCUGGGGAGUACGGCCGCAAGGUUAAAACUUAAAUGAAUUGACGGGGUCAUAGCUG